AAAUAACAACACUGGAAAUUUGAUUUCUAGUGAUUGGAAUGAUGGGAAUCCAAACCCCUUUCAGAGUAACAAUUGGAGGGCAAGUCUGGUGCCAGCDGCCGCGGUAAUUCCAGCUCCAAUAGCSUAUAUUAAAGUUGUUGCAGUUAAAWAGCUCGUAGUUGGAUGUCUGUUGGAAGCAAUCAUCAGUCCGCCCUAUUUGAUUAGGGUGUGAAUAUGAUGAAUUCCGGCAUAAUUGUCUCCCUAUUGUUAAUAUUCUGAUUGUUAGAUUCAUUUCUAACAAUAAUACGAUUAUUAAUAAUAAGGGGGAAAUGUUACUUUGAGAAAAWUAGAGUGUUUGAAGCAGGCUUUUGUUGCCUUGAAUACUGCAGCAUGGAAUAACAAUAUAGGAUUUCGGUUCUAUUUUGUUGGUUCUUUUUUUAGGACUGAAAUAAUGAUUAAUAGGGACAGUUGGGGGCAUUCGUAUUUAACUGUCAGAGGUGAAAUUCUUAGAUUUGUUAAAGACGAACUACUGCGAAAGCAUUUGCCAAAGAUGUUUUCAUUAAUCAAGAACGAAAGUUAGGGGCUCGAAGACGAUCAGAUACCGUCGUAGUCUUAACCAUAAACUAUGCCGACU
Molecule: ribosomal RNA, 613 nt
Filed under: Sarcocystis miescheriana
Lineage: Eukaryota; Apicomplexa; Conoidasida; Eucoccidiorida; Sarcocystidae
Description: SSU rRNA
Source: RNAcentral